Apus apus (common swift) is the source of this 854-nucleotide long non-coding RNA. RefSeq lists it as uncharacterized. The transcript is spliced from 4 exons. Lineage: Eukaryota; Metazoa; Chordata; Aves; Apodiformes; Apodidae. The record is from RefSeq and is a predicted model, not a curated record.
UGCCGUGCCCAGCCCCACUGGUGCAGCCUCCCUCUCGGAGUGAAGAUCAGCAGCUGGACAGGCAAAAAAUCGUCAUGGAAAGUAAAAGUUGGGAAGCAAGGCCUGGCUACGACUCUUGCGUUGGGGUUGUUUGGAAUUUACCAGUAUUCAGAGUUUUCAGCCAAGGUAAGAAUCCCCAGCUGAAAUGCAAAGACAAGCAGAGCCCAGAACCUAGACUAAAGAUGUUCUUCCAACAGCAUCUGGAGGACUUUUGAUCAUAAAGCCCAAGAACCUUCAGGUCCUUCCCUCUUGACCCAGCACAUCAUGAGAGUUUUUAAAAGCAUUGCCUAAGCAUAUGAAAAAAGGAGCCGGAAGAUGUUGAGCCACCCACCCCAAAGCCAGGACCUGUGCUUUGCAGUGGUUCCUGUGCUGCAGAUGGAGAUGGGAACCUGCUAGCAGCCAUAUGAAUAGUGAAGUAUCUGAUCCUGAGACCUACAUCUCAAAAAUUCCUUGAAGGACAUCCAUAUUUAGCAACAAAAUUCUGUCCUCAUUUACAUCAAUGGAGGUCACUGAGAACCCAUGGAUUUAAGGCACACACUAGUGGAAAUUGUUUUCGUCUCUCAAAUCACUUCUUUAAGGAAUCACCCAACAUGAUAUCACUUGCUCAGUUUUCUCUCAGUUUAUCUUGCCUACUUAUUUUUCAUGUGCUCUUUCUUGCUUACAUGCCCGAAUGUUCCUGUUGAUUUCCAGAAUUAUCAUUUUUCCCUCAGUGUCCAUCCUUCAAAAUUUUUUUCCAAAUAUUCCUCUAAAGACUAUGAGUUUUUAUUUUAACAUGCUUUUGUACUUCAUGGGCUUGUAGCUCAUGUGUUCCCUAA